GACGAAGGGGGCUAGCGUUGUUCGGAAUUACUGGGCGUAAAGCGCGUGUAGGCGGUUUGCCAAGUCGGGUGUGAAAGCCUUGGGCUUAACCCAAGAAAUGCAAUCGGUACUGGCAGACUAGAGGACCGGAGAGGAUAGUGGAACUCCCAGUGUAGUGGUGAAAUACGUAGAGAUUGGGAAGAACACCAGUGGCGAAGGCGGCUAUCUGGACGGUUUCUGACGCUAAGACGCGAAAGCGUGGGGAGCAAACAGG
This 253-nucleotide ribosomal RNA is filed under the name uncultured bacterium. Its description in RNAcentral is "partial 16S ribosomal RNA". It matches the Rfam family "Bacterial small subunit ribosomal RNA", at positions 524 to 776 of the family's 1533-position model. The record is from RNAcentral.